CUUGGCGGAGACCCUCCCCUAUUCCACCUCCCUCCCCAACACAUACAGCUCUGGCUGAGGGGGCACUUCCUCCCCCCAGCAUCCCUGACUCAAACCGCCACCCAAAAGCAAUAGGGAGAAAGGGUUAAAAGUUGCACAACGCAUCCGGGAGUCACCGAGCAGCAGCAGCAGCCUGGGCUCUGCAUCCCGAGCCCCGGGCUGCAGCAGAGGCGCUGGGGUGAGCGCUACAGUCGGGUGCCCGUCACCCACCCCGAGCCCGGCGGGCCCCUCACCUUGCGCGUUGUGCUGGUUGUUCUCCAUGAUCGAGGGGGUCGCCGAGCUGCUGCCCAGCUCGGCCAGUCUCCGGUUGGUGGCUGUCAGCUCGGCUCGCAGGGUUGCUUGGAGCACACUGGACUAAGCAAGAGGCCCGCCAAGUCCGUUGGGAAUAGACGGUGCUCUGCCAUUCCCAGGAUUGAAUCUGUAGGUACUUAAGGGCAACAUGUCACUCGGGGUUUAUCUACACAGUGGGGGAAUGUAUUCUGUGGGGGAGUGAUUUCUAAAGGACACUCAGUCUUGUGCAUUAGUUGGUUCAUGUAGAUACAGUAGUACAUUAAAGCACACUAGGAAACCUUAAGAGUACACAAGUAGGGUCUACACAGACCAAUUAAUAUGCAACACAUCAGUGCGCUUUAGAAAUCACACCCCUGUAAAGCACAUUACCUUAUGGUGUAAACAAAUGCUAAAUUAUGGAAAGUUUGUAAACAGUAUCUCAACAGACACAAAUAGUGCCAAACCUCUUACCGAUCUAUCUCAGAUUAAGAUGGCCACAGCAUUUAUGGGGUGAAGCUGCAGCCCAUGGAAACUCCUAAUGAGGCUGUUGCUUGAGGAAUUUGCACUGUGUCCCACCUAGGGACAAGGGAUUGGCCAUUGUGUGGAGUACUGAAAAUUAAUCCCCUUCAGUUUUCAAAGUAUGAAUUCUCAAGUCAGUCAAUACACAGGGUAAAAUUCUGUUCUCUGCACAUUGGAACUAUAUGCUGAUAUUCUGGUCUCUCUGCAAAGGUGGAUCUCCCAGUGAUAUUGAUGGGUCUCCCAUAUACACACUGUG
RNAcentral lists this long non-coding RNA (1084 nucleotides) under Gopherus agassizii (Agassiz's desert tortoise). RNAcentral's name for it is "lncRNA (ENSGAGG00000015639.1)". The record is from RNAcentral. Lineage: Eukaryota; Metazoa; Chordata; Testudines; Testudinidae.